Molecule: ribosomal RNA, 375 nt
Filed under: uncultured organism
Description: partial 16S ribosomal RNA
Rfam family: Bacterial small subunit ribosomal RNA
Source: RNAcentral
GUAGGUGGCAAGCGUUGUCCGGAAUUAUUGGGCGUAAAGCGCGCGCAGGCGGUUCUUUAAGUCUGAUGUGAAAGCCCACGGCUCAACCGUGGAGGGUCAUUGGAAACUGGGGAACUUGAGUACAGAAGAGGAAAGCGGAAUUCCACGUGUAGCGGUGAAAUGCGUAGAGAUGUGGAGGAACACCAGUGGCGAAGGCGGCUUUCUGGUCUGUAACUGACGCUGAGGCGCGAAAGCGUGGGGAGCAAACAGGGAUUAGAUACCCUGGUAGUCCACGCCGUAAACGAUGAGUGCUAAGUGUUAGGGGGGUUUCCCGCCCCCUUAGUGCUGCAGCUAACGCAUUAAGCACUCCGCCUGGGGAGUACGGCCGCAAGGCUG